GAGCCACUGAAGAAUUCUAAGGAGUCUAUUGUGACCUGGUUGACAUUUUAAUAAGUUCUCCCUUGUGCCCAUGUGGGAAAUAGAUUAGAGGGAGACAAGAAAACAUGUGGAGAGACACCUGUGAGACCAUUGCAAUAGUAGAAGAGUCCUCUACUCUUCCUCUACUCUUCUACUCUACUCAUCUGGCUGCCCACCCUCCCAAACUGAACUAACAAG
Molecule: long non-coding RNA, 216 nt
Filed under: Mustela putorius furo (domestic ferret)
Lineage: Eukaryota; Metazoa; Chordata; Mammalia; Carnivora; Mustelidae
Description: lncRNA (ENSMPUG00000024130.1)
Source: RNAcentral